This 253-nucleotide ribosomal RNA is filed under the name uncultured bacterium. Its description in RNAcentral is "partial 16S ribosomal RNA". It matches the Rfam family "Bacterial small subunit ribosomal RNA", at positions 524 to 776 of the family's 1533-position model. The record is from RNAcentral.
UACGUAGGCAGCAAGCGUUGUUCGGAAUUACUGGGCGUAAAGAGCGUGUAGGCGGCCAGAUAGGUCCGUUGUGAAAACUCGAGGCUCAACCUCGAGACGCCGAUGGAAACCAUUUGGCUAGAGUCCGGAAGAGGAGAGUGGAAUUCCUGGUGUAGCGGUGAAAUGCGCAGAUAUCGGGAAGAACACCCGUGGCGAAGGCGGCUCUCUGGGACGGUACUGACGCUGAGACGCGAAAGCGUGGGGAGCGAACAGG